Long non-coding RNA from Seriola aureovittata, 1573 nucleotides. RefSeq lists it as uncharacterized. The transcript has 2 exons. The record is from RefSeq and is a predicted model, not a curated record. Lineage: Eukaryota; Metazoa; Chordata; Actinopteri; Carangiformes; Carangidae.
GCUUUUGUUUUCCAUUUAUAUGAGGAAAUUAUUAUCUCACAGUUGCCAGUCGUAAUUCUAGUAGUAUUUUGCAGUAGUAGUGUCUCAGCUGUAACGGUAGUGGUAAUAUUUAGCAGUAUAACUAACAUUAUUUAUUCAUUCAUUCAGUUUUUAUUUAGGACACAGCUUAGACACACAUUAGUAACAUUAUACCUAUGUUUAUUUAUUUUUCAAUAAACAAUUCAAGUGUAAAAUGUUGUUGAGGUGUUAUAAACACAACCAACACCCUAAAGAUAAAAAAAAAAAAAAAAAAAAACUUAAAAAAAACUGUAAAAAUAACCAAGAGUCAAUAUGAAGUCAUUAACAAUUAAAUGAAGUUAUUAGAUAGUAAAGGUAGGUCUAUGGAAAUAUAGAGUUGGAGGAGAUUUGAAUUAGAUUUGAGUAUGGCUUUGAAAGUGAUGAAAAUGUCACUUUAAUUUUGACUUUUGUUAAAGCUGCCAGACGCCCCGAUAUGACCUGAGACAUGAGGGCAAAAACAUGAUCUGUUUUGACCCAAUAAAAUCCUUGGGAAUUGAAACAUGAGAGAGCGCAAAAAAGGUGUUGUAGCUGUGCCAAAUAUUCUUGGUACUCUAAAGCCUAUUAUCCAGGAUGAGGCCUUAAAGACAAAAAUAAACAUUUGCAGUUGUUCAAAACGUAUCAAAAAAAAAAAGUUGGCCAAGCCUACAAGUUUAUCUGAUCAUACUACAUUCACUCUAAGGGUUACAGGUUAUUAUAAAUUAUUUUUAGUUGAGUAAUGAAUGUGCAUUUGUAAUUAACUUUAUCGUGGGCAGAAGUUCUGAGGUCACAUGCUCUAGAACAGGGCAAAAAAUUAAAAGAAAACAAAAAGUACACAUUUCAUACAGGUGAAUACAUUUCACAGUUAAGGUAAGUAACAUUAAUUUACCUUUGAAUAACGUGAUCAUAGCUGUAACUUACUCAUGUGCAUAAAAGUGAUUGCAUAGGUUUUGAAAAUAUCAAUACAUAUGCAGUCACUUUUUUCUGUGUCUGCCAGUACUAUGAAUUUGAUCCCAUCUCUGUUUUUGAUGGCAGAGUUUGCAAAAAUGGCAGUCCAACCACCUCUGUACCAGUUAUUUCCUCUCAGGCCAUCGGCACCUCAAACCAGCAUGGAGGCGUUGGUGUCAGCCUUGUGGUGUCAACUCUGCCCUGGACAGUACUUUGGACAAAACCACAGACUGGAUAAAGUCUUUGCUAGGAUGUCCAGCUGGCCAGAACAGGCAGCCUUGCAGCUCUGUCCCUACUAUUUUGACCAGGUCACUUACAGUCUUCCUACCAGAGACCAAGUGAAACGCAUGGAGAGCUGCAACCUCAGGCUGCACUGCUUCGACUCAUGGGUAGACUUAAAACAAGAAAAGCAGAGGGCCACUGAGCAGCAAGGAAGAUGGCAUUUAAGGACCGACCGAGAAGCUCGGCCUACAGCUGGCAUCCACUUGAGUCGACUUUGUCAACUCCAGGAUCCAAACACUGGCAGGAGUAUAUCCACAAAACAGUAUAAUUAUCUGAUGUAUGGCUACUGCUAAAUACAGAUAUGAAUGAG